Molecule: long non-coding RNA, 442 nt
Organism: Anneissia japonica
Lineage: Eukaryota; Metazoa; Echinodermata; Crinoidea; Comatulida; Comatulidae
Exons: 3
Source: RefSeq, a predicted model, not a curated record
UGGGUGAGAGCAUAUGACAGGCUGUCCUGCUCUGAGUUGUUUUUGUUCAUAAAAAAUUAACUGAAUUUUGAAGCAAAGGCUCUUCAAGUAUAUCUGAUGUCAGGUAUUUUCUGCUGUUGAAACUAAACAUUACAUUUUAACUUCAACUUUCCAACAAGUGCCAAGGCUAUGGGAAUUGCAAUUUUUGAUAUCGACCACUCCAAAAAAUAAAUUUGUUUGCCAAAAAUAAAGUUAUAGAGAACUACUAGGACAAUUGCAAAGUUACUGUAACAGCAUGGUUAAGAAGAUUGCUGACCUGCAAAACUUAAAGUGCCAGUACAUAAUAAUUAUUACUGUAGGUAUGACUGUAUAUAAUUUAACAGAAACCAGAUUUAAAAUAUGUUUUGUGAAUAAUAGUUUUAUAUUCCAUAACAUUACUAUAGAAUAUUUUUAACGAACAGGC